AGUUUAAGAUGUAUCAGCUACACUCUUACCUCUCUGAUGGCUUUGAAACAGAUGUGCUGCUGAAUAUGGAGACUUGAUGCUACUUCACAAGGAUUUGAAUUGUGCACUCGAAAGACUUGAAGAGGAACAUCACCUGGUUCUGGGAGAUGAAGAUACAAGCUGUGCAAGUAGACCCCAGUUUUUGGAAGCAUUAUAAAACGUGUGGUUUGCUGACUACUCCACUUAGUGAGGAGACAAACUCUGCGGAGAAAAACAUCCUGAGCCAGGAUAGAGGACCCUCAUCUGGAUUUUAAUUCCUUAUAUAGCACCACAGCUGGGCUAGGACCAUGGAAACAAGCUGCUCUGGGCACCCACCACUGAAGAACUGAAGACUGAGGACCAAUGGGACGCCGCUGGAUCCAUGGUGGCUUUGGGAGAUGAAGCUAUAAGCUGUGCAAGGGUGCCCUAGAUGGAGGGUUCCUGUGCCUCCAGCAUGAGCAGCUGUUUCACCUGUUACUGAUGUUUAUGAACACAAGGCUUUCCUAAUUGCAGGCUUCUGAGGCAUUUCUCAUUGUGAUGGCUGCUGCAGUGGAGCCGUGGGGUGAUGCGGUUGGUGGUGCUACCAGCAGAAAUUUGAGAAUGGGAGAACUGCUGGAUGCUCUGACAUCUGCUUGAGUGAAGCUUGCGGGCAGUUUGUGUGAAAAACAAGACUAACAUGUCUGAGGGAAGGAUCGUGCUGUCUGCAACCUCACUGGGUAAGGAGGAGGCAGCUUUGAAACUACUGCAAGAAGAACUGAGAAGGUGGAAGACUGACGAACGAUGGGUUACACUUGCAUGAACAGCAUUAAAAAGCGAAGAGGUUUUUUACCACACUGGUAAUGUUUGCUUGAUACUGAUUG
RNAcentral lists this long non-coding RNA (878 nucleotides) under Columba livia (rock pigeon). RNAcentral describes it as "partial uncharacterized LOC102098484, transcript variant X1". The record is from RNAcentral. Lineage: Eukaryota; Metazoa; Chordata; Aves; Columbiformes; Columbidae.